GUGCCAGCCGCCGCGGUAAUACGAGGGGAGCAAGCGUUGUUCGGAAUCAUUGGGCGUAAAGGGCGCGUAGGCGGCCUGCACAAGUCCAGGGUGAAAGCCCUCGGCUUAACCGAGGAAGGGCCUUGGAAACUGUGCGGCUUGAGUAUUGGAGAGGAAGGCGGAAUUCCCAGUGUAGCGGUGAAAUGCGUAGAUAUUGGGAGGAACACCUGUGGCGAAGGCGGCUUUCUGGACAAUUACUGACGCUGAGGCGCGAAAGCUAGGGGAGCAAACGGGAUUAGAAACCCUUGUAGUCC
Molecule: ribosomal RNA, 293 nt
Filed under: uncultured bacterium
Lineage: Bacteria
Description: partial 16S ribosomal RNA
Rfam family: Bacterial small subunit ribosomal RNA
Source: RNAcentral